GCCGCGGUGGCACAACCUGGUACUGCGCGAGAUUGCUAAUCUCGUGACCUUCGGGUUUUGUGGGUUCAAAUCCCACCCGCGGCG
This 84-nucleotide transfer RNA is filed under the name Candidatus Woesearchaeota archaeon. RNAcentral describes it as "tRNA-Ser". It matches the Rfam family "tRNA". From Rfam's summary of the family: Transfer RNA (tRNA) molecules are approximately 80 nucleotides in length. Their secondary structure includes four short double-helical elements and three loops (D, anti-codon, and T loops). Further hydrogen bonds mediate the characteristic L-shaped molecular structure. tRNAs have two regions of fundamental functional importance: the anti-codon, which is responsible for specific mRNA codon recognition, and the 3' end, to which the tRNAs corresponding amino acid is attached (by aminoacyl-tRNA synthetases). tRNAs cope with the degeneracy of the genetic code in two manners: having more than one tRNA (with a specific anti-codon) for a particular amino acid; and 'wobble' base-pairing, i.e. permitting non-standard base-pairing at the 3rd anti-codon position. The record is from RNAcentral. Lineage: Archaea; Nanobdellati; Candidatus Woesearchaeota.